Molecule: ribosomal RNA, 392 nt
Filed under: uncultured organism
Description: bacterial SSU rRNA
Rfam family: Bacterial small subunit ribosomal RNA
Source: RNAcentral
CAGAGGGCGCGAGCGUUGUCCGGCAUCACUGGGCGUAAAGGGCGCGUAGGGUGGCCACUAUAAGGCCGCGGUGAAAGUUCGGGGCUCAACCCCGAAUCGGCCGCGGCGACUGUAGGGCUUGGGCACUGUAGAGGCAGAUGGAAUUCCGGGUGUAGCGGUGGAAUGCGUAGAGAUCCGGAAGAACACCAGUGGCGAAGGCGGUCUGCUGGGCAGUGGGAGCGCAAGCUCCUUUUAGCCGACACUGAGGCGCGACAGCGUGGGGAGCAAACAGGAUUAGAUACCCUGGUAGUCCACGCCGUAAACGAUGGGCACUAGGUGCUUUGGGGAGCGACCCCCGGGGUACCGCGCUAACGCAUGAAGUGCCCCGCCUGGGGAGUACGGCCGCAAGGCUG